AUACGGAGGGUGCAAGCGUUAAUCGGAAUUACUGGGCGUAAAGCGCGCGUAGGCGGUUUGAUCAGUCGGAUGUGAAAGCCCUGGGCUCAACCUGGGAACUGCAUUCGAUACUGUCAGACUAGAAUAUGGUAGAGGGUAGUGGAAUUCCUGGUGUAGCGGUGAAAUGCGUAGAUAUCAGGAGGAACAUCAGUGGCGAAGGCGGCUACCUGGACCAAUAUUGACGCUGAGGUGCUAAAGCGUGGGGAGCAAACAGGAUUAGAAACCCUAGUAGUCC
RNAcentral lists this ribosomal RNA (274 nucleotides) under uncultured bacterium. RNAcentral's name for it is "partial 16S ribosomal RNA". It matches the Rfam family "Bacterial small subunit ribosomal RNA", at positions 523 to 796 of the family's 1533-position model. The record is from RNAcentral.